GACAGAGGAUGCAAGCGUUAUCCGGAAUGAUUGGGCGUAAAGCGUCUGUAGGUGGCUUUUUAAGUCUGCCGUCAAAUCCCAGGGCUUAACCCUGGACAGGCGGUGGAAACUACCAAGCUGGAGUACGGUAGGGGCAGGGGGAAUUUCCGGUGGAGCGGUGAAAUGUGUAGAGAUCGGAAAGAACACCAACGGCGAAAGCACUCUGCUGGGCCGACACUGACACUGAGAGACGAAAGCUAGGGGAGCGAAUGGG
This 253-nucleotide ribosomal RNA is filed under the name uncultured bacterium. Its description in RNAcentral is "partial 16S ribosomal RNA". It matches the Rfam family "Bacterial small subunit ribosomal RNA", at positions 524 to 776 of the family's 1533-position model. The record is from RNAcentral.